This 497-nucleotide ribosomal RNA is filed under the name uncultured bacterium. RNAcentral's name for it is "partial 16S ribosomal RNA". It matches the Rfam family "Bacterial small subunit ribosomal RNA", at positions 28 to 507 of the family's 1533-position model. The record is from RNAcentral.
GACGAACGCUGGCGGCGUGCCUAAUACAUGCAAGUAGAACGCUGAAGCGAGGAGCUUGCUCUUCUUGGGUGAGUUGCGAACGGGUGAGUAACGCGUAGGUAACCUGCCUGGUAGCGGGGGAUAACUAUUGGAAACGAUAGCUAAUACCGCAUAACAACAGUUGUUGCAUGACAGCUGUUUAAAAGAUGCAAUUGCAUCACUACCAGAUGGACCUGCGUUGUAUUAGCUAGUUGGUGAGGUAACGGCCCACCAAGGCGACGCUACAUAGCCGACCUUAGAGGGUGAUCGGCCAACCUGGGACUGAGACACGGCCCAGACUCCUGCGGGAGGCAGCAGUAGGGAAUCUUCGGCAAUGGGGGGAACCCUGACCGAGCAACGCCGCGGGAGUGAAGAAGGUUUUCGGAUCGUAAAGCUCUGUUGUAAGAGAAGAACGGGUGUGAGAGUGGAAAGUUCACACUGUGACGGUAUCUUACCAGAAAGGGACGGCUAACUACGUG